Molecule: long non-coding RNA, 2004 nt
Organism: Polypterus senegalus (gray bichir)
Lineage: Eukaryota; Metazoa; Chordata; Cladistia; Polypteriformes; Polypteridae
Exons: 3
Source: RefSeq, a predicted model, not a curated record
UUGUGUUCGCAUAACAAGACGCUAUGAGGCUUAUUAUUUUUCCUCUGUAUUUGAUUUCAUUAAGCAGGGACUUGAAUGUCUUCAUUAUCUCCAUGUUUGUCAUAACUGGAAGACAGGCAGGUGAACUAAAUAGCUGAGGUCCACUCAGGCAGUGAUUGGUGGCAUCAUCGUGAUAUACUUGUUAAUGCCUCAGCCUCUAGGCCUCACUAAAUUGAACAUCUAAUGGUUCUCCUAACCUCCAAUGCACUUUAUUAAACUUUGAUUACAUUCUGUUUGUAUGGCAGGAAAAAGACCAAGAAGACACCUCCACAAAAUGGCAUCCAAGGAGGAGAAGAGACUGUCAAAGAUGCUGUUUAUGAAGAUGUCUCCGCAUCCAAAGCUCAACCAGCACAGCAGAAAGAGGAAGAGGAAGAUGAGCAAGGCUUGAAUUACGCCUCUGUGCGGUUCAAGGCUAAGCCUGACAAAACAAUUCAAACAAAAGGUAAAGAAAAGAAGGCCAAAGAAGAAGACAACAUGAGUGAGAUCAUCUAUGCCACAGUGAUUACCAAGUCAUAAGGUGUGUGUCAGCGUGAAGUUUGAAAACUGAAUCGGAUUUGGGGUUGUUGUGAAGUGACAGCCUUUGGACGCCAGCACAGUUGUCAUCACAUUUUAGAAGCCAGGCGUCAUUUUCCUCGGUGCUACAACAAAGAUUAAAUAAGGUCGUAUAGCACCUUGCAUUUCCUCUUACACACGUAAAACCUAAAUAGAACUUGAAGAAAAAAGGAAAACAUAUAGAUUAUAUUAAUUGGCCUAUUUUUUCAAUUAAAUGGGACCAAAAGGUCUGCAUGUGGACAGUAACUCUAAAAGUCAGGACUUGAUGAGCUCCCUUAAAAAAGGAGGAAUAGUCGAGGUUUUUACCAUUGAUUGUGACCGAGUGUUCACUUUUCUUCUCCAAAAUUGUGUUUUUCCUUGAAAAUUUCAAACGAGGUCUCCUGUUCACGUAAACUAAACAUGCCAUUCUUGGAAGCCGUGGACUGCACUGCACACGACUUCUUCUGGGCUCAAUCUGCUCUCCAGUUCAGCUAAGAGGAGCUGCUCAAUGCACUCAACUGCCUCAAAGUUGUAUAAAAAUGGAGCAAACAGCAGACAGCAACUUACUUUCCCUAACAGUAAUGGAGGAUCACCUACAGUGUUAACUUCACUGCUUGCUCUCCACUCAUCGUCAGGGCAUUGUGCAGACGUUCUUCACUAAUAUGACCAGCACAGGGUGCAGAUUUCAUGAGAAUGUGAUCUUUUACGAUUGAAGCCAGACGACAACUGGAGUAUCCAUCUUCAAGCUUCCAUCUUCCUUCAUCAAACUAUCGAAUACAUCCUCUGAUGAUCCACCCUGCUCUUCAUAACCUUUACUCUUUAUCUUUAUUGUUUCACCUGAGACUUCUUCAUUUUAUGCCGAGUUGAUUCUUAAGCUUCUGUCAUCUCCUGUCUUAUUCACCCUCAUUUCUGCUUCCAGCUUCCACUUAAUUAUUAAGUUAUUAUUAAGUUACCGUCAGUUCCAUUUAGUUAAUAAGUUAUUUUGCUAAAAAAUAAUCACGUAUAGAAGCUAGACAUGUAUGUGUUAAAAGCAACUGAGCUCAUGGAUAAGAGUGACAAUUGACUGCUAGUCAUUUUAUUUAUUUGUGUUGCUUUGCCACAAACGAUGCAGGGAUGUUGUUCUUAUCUGAGUUCUGGGCCGCCAUCUGUUUUACCGUGAAGUGCUUCAUGUAGCAUUUGAGUUGAAGUACAAAGUGUUGUGUUAUGGCUGGGAUUUUAGUCCGAGGCUUGUAUGUAUUUUCAGAAUUUAUUCAUUUAGAAUUAUUAUUUUUCAUGGCUUUAUGUUAUUUCUGUUAGAUUUGUUUACUAUUUGUUAUUUGUAUUUUGUUUCCUUAAAUAAGCUGCAAUAUCCUGUCCUAUGUGGGUGGAGCCCAGGAGGAGGGGCCAUUCUAACAUCACUGCUGGUGGCUCCACCUUCUGUCCAGAGGCAGGAAA